Magallana angulata is the source of this 677-nucleotide long non-coding RNA. RefSeq lists it as uncharacterized. The transcript is spliced from 2 exons. The record is from RefSeq and is a predicted model, not a curated record. NCBI's taxonomy places the organism in Eukaryota, Metazoa, Mollusca, Bivalvia, Ostreida, Ostreidae.
UAUAAUCGUUGCUUUAAAGAUCCGCGCCUGGAAUGCACCUGGAUGUCCUAUAAAUAGCCCGAGUUUUUAAGUGUGUUUCUUUCCGGGCUAACGUACUACAUGCAUGUAUGUAUCAUCUUUCACAUGAUAAGGAAUUCACACGCACGCAUACACUGCACGUGACGAAGGGAUAACAGCACACUCACUACACACAGGAAAAGUCUCGUGAUUUUAUACAGCGGGAGCAUCCAUCACCUAAUAUCGCCAAACUUCAGAUAAAUCAAGAUGGGCAAGGGUGAAGGAGGUGCCGGAAUUCUGUGGGCGUUCCUGUGGUUCCUGAUUUUAAUAUUCCUUGGCUGGCCAAUCGGAUUCUUCAUCGCCUGGCUUUACGUCCUCUUACUGCCGUUUGGGGCGUGUAUCGCUCCGAUCAAAGACGUCAAUCAACACAUACUGGGCGUGGUCCAACUACCUCUGACAUGCGCAGAAAACAUGAUUGCUAUGAAACCACUCUGCUAAAAUAUUUUAAAAUUUGUACGCACGCGUACUGUUGAGGCAGCAUCAGAUAUGUGUUUCAUAUAGCAUUUUUGUAUAUAAUCUAUGUAUACAUUUGUAUUUGAUGUGAAAAAUUUUAAAUUGUAUUUUGUUUUGUAGAGUGAUUUUUGUAUUCUUAUACUAAUCGAUUAAACAUUAAACAAAAA